GAUGAACGCUGGCGGCGUGCCUAAUACAUGCAAGUCGAGCGAACAGACGAGGAGCUUGCUCCUCUGACGUUAUCGGCGGACGGGUGAGUAACACGUGGAUAACCUACCUAUAAGACUGGGGUAACUUCGGGAAACCGGAGCUAAGACCGGAUAAUAUAUUGAACCUCAUGGUUCAAUAGUGAAAGACGGUUUUGCUGUCACUUAUAGAUGGAUAAGCGCAGCAUUAGCUAGUUGGUAAGGUAACGGCUUACCAAGGCAACGAUGCGUAGACGACCUGAGAGGGUGAUUCGACACACUGGAACUGAGACACGGUCCAGACACCUACGGUAGGCAGCAGUAGGGAAUCUUCCGCGAUGGACGAAAGCGUGACGUAGCAACGCCGCGUGAGUGAUGAAGGUGUUCGGAUGGUAAAACUCUGUUAUUAGGAAAGUACAAAUGUGUAAGUACCUAUGCUCGUCUUGACGGUACCUAAUCAGAAAGCUACGGCUAACUCCGUG
This 497-nucleotide ribosomal RNA is filed under the name uncultured bacterium. RNAcentral describes it as "partial 16S ribosomal RNA". It matches the Rfam family "Bacterial small subunit ribosomal RNA", at positions 28 to 507 of the family's 1533-position model. The record is from RNAcentral.